This 510-nucleotide ribosomal RNA is filed under the name Sanderia malayensis. RNAcentral describes it as "partial 16S ribosomal RNA". It matches the Rfam family "Bacterial large subunit ribosomal RNA", at positions 1807 to 2489 of the family's 2925-position model. Lineage: Eukaryota; Metazoa; Cnidaria; Scyphozoa; Semaeostomeae; Pelagiidae. The record is from RNAcentral.
CCAAAAACAUAGCCCUUUAUUACCUAUAAAGGGUGCAACCUGCUCAAUGGCUGAAAAUAAAUAAAAUAAAUACAGUUAAAUAGCCGCGGUAACUCUGACCGUGAUAAAGUAGCAUAAUCACUUGUCACUUAAUUAGUGAAUGGAAUGAAUGGUUAAACGAAUCCUACACUGUCUCAAUAAGAAAUCCAGUAAAAUUGGAAUUGUAGUGAAGAUACUACAUAAAGAUUGCAAGACGAAAAGACCCUAUUGAGCUUUACUGAAUACUUAUAUACCAACACAGAAAAUAAAAAAUAUAUCCUUUAUAAACUAUAAGUAAGACAGUUUGGUUGGGGCGACCACCUCUAAAAUAGUAACAGAGGAGAUCUAAAGAUUAUUUAAAUGUAUAUAAACCUAACUGAAAUAGCUAUAACUUAAACAGAUAUAAAACGUAGGACAUAAUGACCCGUUAUAUACUAAUUCAAAAUAUAACGAUUACAAAAAAAGUUACCAUAGGGAUAACAGGGUAAUAUU